Molecule: long non-coding RNA, 428 nt
Organism: Oncorhynchus tshawytscha (Chinook salmon)
Lineage: Eukaryota; Metazoa; Chordata; Actinopteri; Salmoniformes; Salmonidae
Source: Ensembl
UGUCACUGUGUUAACCACAACCAACAUGUUGGAUCUCUGUUUAGUUGUCACUGUGUUAACCACAACCAACAUGUUGGAUCUCUGUUUAGUUGUCACUGUGUUAACCACAACCAACAUGUUGGAUCUCUGUUGUCACUGUGUUAACCACAACCAACAUGUUGGAUCUCUGUUUAGUUGUCACUGUGUUAACCACAACCAACAUGUUGGAUGUCUGUUUAGGGGUCAGUGCUCUAAAAUGAGUCUCUCUGGGGAACAUGACACCAAAACUAAGAGUCCAAUCAAGCAGGAGAGACCAGCCUCCCCUGUUCCCAGCUGUGUGUCCAUGAAGAGUGACCGGUCUAUGGAACCUCCUCUAACCUUUAGAGAGGGAGACUUUUCUACUGAACAAAGGUAAGAAGAACUCAUGGGUCCUGGUCAGUGAGUUAAAC